CCCUUAACGAGGAACAAUUGGCAGGGCAAGUCUGGUGCCAGCAGCCGCGGUAAUUCCAGCUCCAAUAGCGUAUAUUCAACAGUUGUUGCAGUUAAAAAGCUCGUAGUUGAACCUUGGGCCUUGGCCCGGCCGGU
Molecule: ribosomal RNA, 134 nt
Filed under: uncultured fungus
Lineage: Eukaryota; Fungi
Description: partial 18S small subunit ribosomal RNA
Rfam family: Eukaryotic small subunit ribosomal RNA
Source: RNAcentral